Molecule: ribosomal RNA, 426 nt
Filed under: Clostridioides difficile
Lineage: Bacteria; Bacillati; Bacillota; Clostridia; Peptostreptococcales; Peptostreptococcaceae
Description: bacterial LSU rRNA
Rfam family: Bacterial large subunit ribosomal RNA
Source: RNAcentral
AGUCCACAUCGACGGGGAGGUUUGGCACCUCGAUGUCGGCUCAUCACAUCCUGGGGCUGUAGUAGGUCCCAAGGGUUGGGCUGUUCGCCCAUUAAAGUGGUACGCGAGCUGGGUUCAGAACGUCGUGAGACAGUUCGGUCCCUAUCCGUCGCAGGCGUAGGAAAUUUGAGAAGACCUGUCCUUAGUACGAGAGGACCGGGAUGGACGUACCUCUGGUGUACCAGUUGUCCUGCCAAGGGCAUGGCUGGGUAGCUAUGUACGGAAUGGAUAAGCGCUGAAAGCAUCUAAGCGCGAAGCCAACUUCAAGAUAAGAUUUCCCACCGCAAGGGUAAGACCCCAGAAAGACUAUCUGGUUGAUAGGUCGAAGGUGUAAGUUCAGCAAUGUAUUUAGCUUAUCGAUACUAAUAGGUCGAGGACUUGACCAAU